RNAcentral lists this ribosomal RNA (401 nucleotides) under uncultured Acidobacteriota bacterium. RNAcentral's name for it is "bacterial SSU rRNA". It matches the Rfam family "Bacterial small subunit ribosomal RNA", at positions 406 to 824 of the family's 1533-position model. The record is from RNAcentral. Lineage: Bacteria; Pseudomonadati; Acidobacteriota.
GGAUGAAGGCCUUCGGGUUGUAAACCUCUUUCGACCGGGAAGAUAAUGACGGUACCUGAAGAAGAAGCCCCGGCUAACUUCGUGCCAGCAGCCGCGGUAAUACGUAGGGGGCAAGCGUUGUUCGGAAUUAUUGGGCGUAAAGGGUGCGUAGGCGGUUUUCUAAGUCUGGUGUGAAAUCUCCGGGCUCAACUCGGAGGCUGCGCCGAAAACUGCCGGGCUUGAGUAUGGGAGAGGUGAGUGGAAUUCCCGGUGUAGCGGUGAAAUGCGUAGAUAUCAGGAGGAACACCUGUGGCGAAAGCGGCUCACUGGACCAUUACUGACGCUGAUGCACGAAAGCUUGGGGAGCAAACAGGAUUAGAUACCCUGGUAGUCCACGCCCUAAACGAUGAAUGCUUGGUGUG